UCUCCGUAGGUGAACCUGCGGAGGGAUCAUUACAGAGUUCUCGCCCUCGCGGGUCGUUCUCCCACCCACUGUUAUCGUUAAUGUCGUUUCUUUCACGGGCCGCCGGGUCCACGGACGCCGGCGUCUAUUACGCAGCGAGCGCCCGCCCGAGGCAAUCAAACACUUAAUGUAAGUAUCGUCGUAUUACUAUAUCCUAAUAAAAACUUUCAACAACGAAUCCCUUGGUUCUGGCAUCGCUGAAGACCGCAGCAGAUCGGAAAGGCACACUUCUGACCUCCA
RNAcentral lists this unclassified non-coding RNA (279 nucleotides) under plant metagenome. RNAcentral's name for it is "partial contains small subunit ribosomal RNA, internal transcribed spacer 1, and 5.8S ribosomal RNA". The record is from RNAcentral.